Grammomys surdaster is the source of this 3714-nucleotide RNA transcript. It is a transcript of the gene named protein SMG5 pseudogene, with no coding region annotated. NCBI's taxonomy places the organism in Eukaryota, Metazoa, Chordata, Mammalia, Rodentia, Muridae. The transcript is spliced from 4 exons. The record is from RefSeq and is a predicted model, not a curated record.
AAAAGAAACUGCAUUCUGGGGCAUCCUGGGAUUUUUUUUUGUGGUGGGGUGGAGACCCAUAUUUUUCUUACCAGGGAGAGAGCUGCCUGUUUUCCUGUAAGAGCUUGUGCCAUUCCUGCUAAAUAUGAAUAUGUUUUAGAAGACUACAGGAUGAAUGCAGUUCAGACUGAGGCAAGGACAUGCUGAAUGAUAUUCAGUGAUCAUUUAGCAUCUGCUGUAUGAAGAAAAUUGUAAUUAUUGACCUUAGAUUUCAUUUGAAUGUUAUACCACCCUAGUCAGACAGUGCUUUGAUAAUUUUUUUCCUGGACUGCCUAGGAAACACUGUUAGCCUUGCUCAAAAAGAAUCCAGCCUCAUGGAGAGAAACCAAGAAGAAACUCUGAGGGCUACACUCCUCUACCAGGAGGUCUGCUUGGCAGCUCAGAGACUGGAUCUCUUCCUUCAAAAAGAAAAUGCCCACAAAGAGGUUUUUAAGCCACACGUCCUGGCUCUCAGAGAGAUGGUUCAGCAAGCCUGCAUUAAACUCAUGUUCCUGCAUCCGGUGGUUUAUGGUAGGAAGGCCGAAGAGCUCUUAUGGAGGAAAAUAUACUCUGACAUUGUCAUGCUGCUCAUGAAGACCAACAAGAAACAAAUGGACACUUUCCAACAUUGGGGAGAGCCCCUGCAGGCUCACCUGAAGGCUGGCCUCAAGUUCUAUGAGCAUCUCUUCCUGUUCCUUCAGGGCCACUAUGAACUGAGGUUACAGAGCUACAUCGACUGGCCUCACAGUGCCAUACACUUGAUUGGCUGUAAGAAAGUGGGACCCACAUCAGCGGAAGAGGCUUCCUGGGCCCGCAUGGCCUGUCAUCGCUGCCUGCUCUACCUGGGAGACUUGUUCCGGUAUCAGCAUGAGUUCCUAGACCUGGCCACCAAGAACUUGGCAGAGAGAUGUUACUACAAAGCCUUGUCAGUGGCCCCGAAUAUGGGAAUGCCCUUCAACCAACUGGGUGCUCUCAUGGGGAGUAAGUAUUAUGGUCUGGAAGCCACAUACUACUAUCAGCGCUGCCUCCACGCUGAAGUGCCUUUUAAAGGAGCAGCUUGGAACCUCAAACGGCUCUAUGAUCAUGCCGGAAAGAGAUACAGUUGUCUGAAGAGGUACCAGGGAAGGAAACUGUCUCACAGCCAAAGGCAAUGUUGGGACAACAAAAGGCUUCUGGUUAGCUUCCUUUACCUUCAGAGUCUCCUGCAGCCCAAGAGAAAAUUCAAAGCGCCAAGGCUUAUAGCCUUGUGCCAACUGGUUCUUGAUGACUUCCGUCUUUGUCUUUCCUACAGGCCGCAUCAAUCUGGCCUGUGCCAGGCUUCCACAGAAGACAAGCCUCCUAAAGGCUAUCUGUUUCUUCCGGACUUCCUCAUCUUCCACAUGGUGGUUCUUUGUCUCAUGAAUGUGCACAGCCUGAGGAAAUCAGGCGCAAAACAGCAAAAACCAGCUGUCAUCUUCACCCUGACUCUUUUCUCUUAUCUAGUACAACAUGUGAACACACGGAUCCAGGCUGAGCUGCAGAAGAGGAAGUUGACUCCAGAAGAGGCUGCUCCCAGAGAUGGACGCUGGGACAAAGAGCCUGGAAAGGAACAACAUCAAGAAUUUCCAUCUCCUGGGCUCCAGAACAGCCACUCUCAGAAAAUCCAAAAGUGGUCUGGUAUUUGUCGAGAGAGUGAGUCCAGUUUUCAUUCCUAUUGUGACUCAGAUGAGACAGAGGAAGAUGAAAACUCAUCCUUAAGUUCCCAGGCACAAUCGGACACAAGCAGUGAGACAUCCCACUCUGAUACAACAGAUGAAGAAGGGAGUGGGUCCUUGGGUUCAGAGGAAAUUCAGAAGAGUGGGGGUCCACCCAAAUCUAAAAGCACUCAUUCCCGAAGCAAACUGAAAGCAUAUGUACCUCCUGACAGUUUCCUUGAUCUCUUGAAAACAGCUAUUUCUUCUAGCCUGCCAGCUCCUUUGAGCCAAAACCUCCAAGGAAAACAUGCCUCGCCUUUGGGUCCUGUCUUCAGUCAUAAUGUUCUAACACCUCAGACUGAUCCAAGCCCUGCUGUCAGUAGUUCCUUGGGCACUGAAGGUGAGAUGAGCAGCUUUCCUGAGACAGAAUUCCACACGGAUUCCUCUUGGGAGCAGAAGUCCUUCAUCACCCAGAAUAAUCUCCAGACCACUCAGUGGAAACUGGACAUUCUUUCUGGAGAGGGACUGUUGCCUACCAUCAAGGUGAUUCUGAGCUGGCUCCGCAGCAAUCACAGCCUCCUCUUGUCACAUUGGAGGAGUGGAUGUAGUUUGUGGGACCAUCUCUGCGUGUUGCUGAACCUGUUGCCCUCAGUGGGGGACCUUCAACAUCCGGGCCUUUGCCUGUCUCACCAUCUCCAGGACUUGCUGCAGAGCUGUCAAUGGCCAAAUACUCCCAAGUACCUUCAGCUCCCUGAGGACAUAGCCCUGUUCCAACAGUCCCCUCCUCAAGUGUCCCAGGACAGGGCAGGCUUAGGGCAGGAUCCACCUCAACUCACCAACCAGGAGGAAGUUAUUAUGCGUAUUUGUUUCUUCAGAAGCUUUGGUCACUUUGCAACAAGACUCCCAGGACAGUUCUUGAGGUUUGACUCUAAGCUGGGUGUCUUUGUGACUAGUACCCUUGAAAGAUCAGAAAGUGCAACUCAGCAGCUUCCAAGAACAACUCCAAGAAUCAGACUUUCCAAAGACAUAGUCCAGCUCUGGUUACAGCGGGAAGUGGCUUUGCUAGAGAAAACUUUUCGAGGUCCCCAGACUCGGUCAGUGUUGACCCCUUACCUGUUCCCUGACCCCAGGGCCCUCUGUGAGCAUCUUUCAGUCAUACAGAAACUAGCCACUAGUGCUAAGUUUUUUCUUAUCAUACCCAAGAUUGUGGUUGACACACUAUACAUCCUAAAAUGGGAAGACCGCAGGGCCUUGGCAGCCAUCACUUUUCUAGAGGAUGAGUUAAAGAGAAGGAAUCAGUACAUUCUCUGCCAGUCCUUUGUGUCCAAGAGGUUGGUGAGACCCAGGAUGACUAAACCAGACUCUGAUGCCUGGGAUCUCUACAAUAUUCUUGAGUUCUGCAAAAGUCUGUUGGAUUCAUCCAGACCAGGGAUCCUGGAUCCCAGCAGCAUGGUGACGAUUAUUACUGGCGUAUGUUUGGAACACCCUAGAAAUUUCGCAUACCCAUUGCAGCUGGUUCUGGGGAUGGCAGCUGAAGCUGGUGUGGAAAUCAAGAACGUCCUGAGUUUCCACAAAGAAUGGAGGGUGAUCAGUUGACAUUCUCACACAUUCCUGUUUCUUGUCUUUCCAGUGUUUUCCACUCAAAUUCAAUGUGCUUCUCCCUCAUAAGCACCUAAUGCUGAGGUAGGCAUUGCGUACAUGAGUAUUUACGUCUACCCAUAGGUAGAGUUGUAGUGUAACAGCUUUCUGAGGCCUUCCUGUUUCCUGUUUAGCCAUCUUAGCACUGUAUUAUGCUUCCUCUGGAAAAAAGGUCAACAAUAACUCAUUGUUUAGUGAUCUUACAGCAAAGCACCAAAUUCAUACAUCACUCCUGUGUCCAAAUGGAUGUUCUGUGAUUUUAAUCAAGUCUUUUUCUGACAUGCAACUUUUAUGUAUAUUGUUUUAUUAUGGUGGGGCAGAGUCUGUUAUUGAUGGCACAACUCUACCAUCUAUUAAAGUCAAUAAAUAUAAAUCUAAAGUUUCA